AGAGCUUGUUUCCUUAUUAAAUGAUGUACUUAUGACCCUUGUCUCUUGUCUUUAAUUCACAGUGCCCCAAGAGAAGUUGGUAUAGCUGCCUCAAGGUCAUCUCCAGAGUAUCGUUUGCCAGCCGCUUGAAAAAAGUUCAAAGGAAAUGAAAUCAUGGAUUUUAGCCCAAAAGUACUGGUAGCAGGAGAACGGGAUGCUUCAGUGACUUAAGCAAUACCUGGAAGAUGGAGACUCCUAGGAAGAUGCAAUACCUGGAUUUGGGUACAAUUCUGGGAAGAGGAGAUGCUGAUCCUUAAAACAAUGCUUUUUCUGUACUCAUUCCACAGCUGAAUCUCUUGGGCAGAGAAAGAACCUGUACCUGUGCCCCUUGCAACAUGGCCUUGGGCAGUAGAAUGCAUCCCAUAUGGAACUUUAUGACUUCAGCAUUUAGCAAAGGACAAGAAAUUUGGACCAUGAAGUUGAAUUGGCUACAUCUGACUAAAGUCCUGUUUCAUGGAUGCCAGAGGUAUGUUGACUCUGUCCUAUUGAGGCGGGUGGAAAAAAUGAUGGCUGUAGCAGAAAGGACAAGCUUCUUUCAAGUCUUUUUUUGAAAAAGGUAAGAAUGGAAAACCUUUUCAAUUGAAGUCAGCUUUUUGUUGUUGUUAAUCUUUGGGAUGUGGAGGUGGAGGCAACCAUCAUUUUCCUCAGCGGUGUUAAAAAUGCGUGAGUAACUUUGGCUGAUUUGGCUGAUAUAUAAGGCAGUCUGGGACAGAAUUAUGACUUUGAAAGGCUUUAUGCAAAACUCUUGUAUAUUCUAGAAAUGCUGGAUAGCUAUAAAUGUAGUCUAAUAAAUAUAAAAAUAGAAGAGCA
Molecule: long non-coding RNA, 849 nt
Filed under: Phasianus colchicus (ring-necked pheasant)
Lineage: Eukaryota; Metazoa; Chordata; Aves; Galliformes; Phasianidae
Description: lncRNA (ENSPCLG00000010065.1)
Source: RNAcentral